UCAGUCCACUGACAAUGCCAGACGAUGAAACCCUGUCGUUGGUAGGCAUUUUUCCUUCGGGAUGGACUAAGAUUGAAAUGUUUUAACUAUCCUUGAUCCUGAAGAUAUCAAACCACUUCUUGUUCUCCUGGAAAUUAAAACAACACU
RNAcentral lists this small nucleolar RNA (147 nucleotides) under Drosophila ananassae. RNAcentral's name for it is "snoRNA:GF26048". The record is from RNAcentral. Lineage: Eukaryota; Metazoa; Arthropoda; Insecta; Diptera; Drosophilidae.